AUGGUUGAGUGUUCUCCAAAGAAUGACUUAACAAUAAAACUUUUCACUAACAUUAGACUAACACUUUUUUUAAUUUUGUUUUUACUUCCAAGUUAUUUACUUAAUGAAAUUUAAAUUUCAGUGCAUUUAUCAUCCAUCUGCCAUUUACAUUUCAUGCAACUUGUUUAUGCUUCAGUCCUUUUCACUUUGCUCACUUGAUCCAUAUCUUGUGAUUGUAUAUAUUGUUUACUUUUUUUUGUCUUAGGACCUUAAAAC
This 255-nucleotide long non-coding RNA is filed under the name Lathyrus oleraceus (garden pea). Its description in RNAcentral is "Pisum sativum (pea) long non-coding RNA (PSAT_LNC011345)". Lineage: Eukaryota; Viridiplantae; Streptophyta; Magnoliopsida; Fabales; Fabaceae. The record is from RNAcentral.